AGGGCGGGCCGGGCGGCCGCGCCGGGCGCGAAAGCGCCCGGCGAGGAAAGUCCGGACACCACAGGGCGGCGCACCUCGAUAACAUCGGGGCGGUCGGGGACCCGCAAGGGCCUCCGGCAAGGACCAGUGCCACAGAGACGCCCUGCCAUCGGGCAGGGCGCCCCGCCUUCAUGGCGGGGCGAGUCCUCCGGCAACGGAGGGGUGAAACGAGGCAAACUCUGCGCGGUGCAAGGCCAAAUAGGGGGCGAGGAGCUGCCCGCUCCGAUCCCGCAAGGGGACAGCCCCGGGUAGGCCGCUUGAGCCGCGGAGCAAUCCGCGGCCCAGAGGAAUGGCCGCCGUCCGGUGCGCAAGUGCGGGUGCAUUCCCCACUCGGGCACAGGGAUACAGAAUCCGGCUUAUAGGCCCGCCCUGACA
This 414-nucleotide RNase P RNA is filed under the name bacterium. RNAcentral describes it as "RNase P RNA component class A". It matches the Rfam family "Bacterial RNase P class A". Rfam says of the family: Ribonuclease P (RNase P) is a ubiquitous endoribonuclease, found in archaea, bacteria and eukarya as well as chloroplasts and mitochondria. Its best characterised activity is the generation of mature 5'-ends of tRNAs by cleaving the 5'-leader elements of precursor-tRNAs. RNAcentral also lists the same sequence under 1 other name. The record is from RNAcentral.